Trichonephila clavipes is the source of this 71-nucleotide non-coding RNA. The record is from the annotation of a GenBank genome assembly. Lineage: Eukaryota; Metazoa; Arthropoda; Arachnida; Araneae; Nephilidae.
GAAAGCGUAGCUCAUAGUAGAGCGCUCGCUUAUCAUGCGAGAGGUUCGGGGAUCGACACCCCGCGCAUCCA